GAUGAAGAACGCAGCGAAAUGCGAUAAGUAAUGUGAAUUGCAGAAUUCAGUGAAUCAUCGAAUCUUUGAACGCACAUUGCGCCCUCUGGUAUUCCGAGGGGCAUGCCUGUUCGAGCGUCAUUAUAACCCCUCAAGCUCAGCUUGGUGUUGGGGCCUGCUGCACUGGCAGCCCUUAAAAUCAGUGGCGGCGCCAUCUGGCUCUAAGCGUAGUAAUUCUUCUCGCUAUGGAGUCCUGGUGGAUGCUUGCCAUCAACCCCCAAUUUUUCUAUGGUUGACCUCGGAUCAGGUAGGGAUACCCGCUGAACUUAAGCAUAUCAAUAAGCGGAGGA
RNAcentral lists this unclassified non-coding RNA (329 nucleotides) under soil metagenome. RNAcentral describes it as "partial contains 5.8S ribosomal RNA, internal transcribed spacer 2, and large subunit ribosomal RNA". The stretch from base 1 to 120 matches the Rfam family "5.8S ribosomal RNA", at positions 35 to 154 of the family's 154-position model. The record is from RNAcentral.